This 369-nucleotide ribosomal RNA is filed under the name uncultured phototrophic eukaryote. Its description in RNAcentral is "SSU rRNA". It matches the Rfam family "Bacterial small subunit ribosomal RNA", at positions 524 to 896 of the family's 1533-position model. The record is from RNAcentral.
GACGGGAGAUGCAAGCGUUAUUCGGAUUUAUUGGGCGUAAAGGGUCUGUAGGUUGUUGGUUAAGUCUAUGGUCAAAUUCCGAAGCUCAACUUCGGGCCGGCACUAGAAACUAAUCAACUUGAGUACGUUAGAGGCAGGGGGAAUUCCCAGUGUAGCGGUGAAAUGCGUAGAUAUUGGGAGGAACAUCGAUGGCGAAGGCACCCUGCUAGGCCGAUACUGACACUGAAAGACGAAAGCUAGGGGAGCAAAUGGGAUUAGAUACCCCUGUAGUCCUGGCCGUAAACGAUGAACACUAGGUGUCGGGGGAUCGCCCCGGUGUCGUAGCUAACGCGUUAAGUGUUCCGCCUGGGGAGUACGCACGCAAGUGUG